This 88-nucleotide small RNA is filed under the name Shewanella mangrovi. RNAcentral describes it as "t44 RNA". It matches the Rfam family "t44 RNA". Rfam says of the family: This family consists of a number of bacterial RNA genes of between 135 and 170 bases in length. Lineage: Bacteria; Pseudomonadati; Pseudomonadota; Gammaproteobacteria; Alteromonadales; Shewanellaceae. The record is from Rfam by way of RNAcentral.
AUGAAUUAAAUACGAAAUCACACACGUGUCGACACAUGUUCCGGGGUGCCUUUUUAGGUCGGAUUCAUGGGAUACGUGGAGGUAUAAC